Molecule: long non-coding RNA, 681 nt
Filed under: Equus caballus (horse)
Lineage: Eukaryota; Metazoa; Chordata; Mammalia; Perissodactyla; Equidae
Description: lncRNA (ENSECAG00000047685.1)
Source: RNAcentral
CUGGGACAGCUCUGUCAUGUCCUGCUGAGCAUCCAGUCCUCUCUCCUGGCACUUUGAACUCCUCGAGGGUGGGGCUAGCCUUUGCUAGCUCUACAUCCCCACUCAUCUGUCCUAAGGGCCGCGGGGGAACAAGGGGGUAGAAGGAAAUUUACUAAGCUAAUGCAAGGUGGGUGUAUGGGAGGCAGAGGCAGGAUCGACUGAAGGGGUGACUGACCCGUGCAGUCACACAGGGCCCUGCACUCAGAAGGACCUCACACUUAGUUUAAUGCUCUGCUGUCGCCAUCUUGAAAUUCUUAACAAUAUCUAAACAAGGGCUCCGCAUUUCAUUUGCAGUGGGCCCUGCAAAUGAUGUAGCUAGUCCUGGGGGAGGGACAAUCCCAACUCUCCCAGGCCAGCUCUGUGCUAAGUGCCAUUUGAGUGGCCAGCAGCAGAGCAGGCCUGGCACUUGCUGGCUGGGGAGAUCCGUCCUACCACCACUUUUCCAGCCCUAACUUUGUGCUGGGCACCAUGCUGGAUGUGAGGGAUGCAGCAGUGACCACAACAAACAGGGGCACCAAGAGAGAGCCCCUGGGCAGGAACCUUUCAAUCCACAGGACGCAAGGUCUGCCAGCUGGGCAGAGAUGGGUUCCUCUCCUCUUUCACUGCCAACAUCCCAGCUGGAGGCUGGCACAGUGUGGGCAC